UUAAGCGACUAAGCGUACACGGUGGAUGCCCUGGCAGUCAGAGGCGAUGAAGGACGUGCUAAUCUGCGAUAAGCGUCGGUAAGGUGAUAUGAACCGUUAUAACCGGCGAUUUCCGAAUGGGGAAACCCAGUGUGUUUCGACACACUAUCAUUAACUGAAUCCAUAGGUUAAUGAGGCGAACCGGGGGAACUGAAACAUCUAAGUACCCCGAGGAAAAGAAAUCAACCGAGAUUCCCCCAGUAGCGGCGAGCGAACGGGGAGCAGCCCAGAGCCUGAAUCAGUGUGUGUGUUAGUGGAAGCGUCUGGAAAGGCGCGCGAUACAGGGUGACAGCCCCGUACACAAAAAUGCACAUGCUGUGAGCUCGAUGAGUAGGGCGGGACACGUGGUAUCCUGUCUGAAUAUGGGGGGACCAUCCUCCAAGGCUAAAUACUCCUGACUGACCGAUAGUGAACCAGUACCGUGAGGGAAAGGCGAAAAGAACCCCGGCGAGGGGAGUGAAAAAGAACCUGAAACCGUGUACGUACAAGCAGUGGGAGCACGCUUAGGCGUGUGACUGCGUACCUUUUGUAUAAUGGGUCAGCGACUUAUAUUCUGUAGCAAGGUUAACCGAAUAGGGGAGCCGAAGGGAAACCGAGUCUUAACUGGGCGUUAAGUUGCAGGGUAUAGACCCGAAACCCGGUGAUCUAGCCAUGGGCAGGUUGAAGGUUGGGUAACACUAACUGGAGGACCGAACCGACUAAUGUUGAAAAAUUAGCGGAUGACUUGUGGCUGGGGGUGAAAGGCCAAUCAAACCGGGAGAUAGCUGGUUCUCCCCGAAAGCUAUUUAGGUAGCGCCUCGUGAAUUCAUCUCCGGGGGUAGAGCACUGUUUCGGCAAGGGGGUCAUCCCGACUUACCAACCCGAUGCAAACUGCGAAUACCGGAGAAUGUUAUCACGGGAGACACACGGCGGGUGCUAACGUCCGUCGUGAAGAGGGAAACAACCCAGACCGCCAGCUAAGGUCCCAAAGUCAUGGUUAAGUGGGAAACGAUGUGGGAAGGCCCAGACAGCCAGGAUGUUGGCUUAGAAGCAGCCAUCAUUUAAAGAAAGCGUAAUAGCUCACUGGUCGAGUCGGCCUGCGCGGAAGAUGUAACGGGGCUAAACCAUGCACCGAAGCUGCGGCAGCGACGCUUAUGCGUUGUUGGGUAGGGGAGCGUUCUGUAAGCCUGUGAAGGUGUGCUGUGAGGCAUGCUGGAGGUAUCAGAAGUGCGAAUGCUGACAUAAGUAACGAUAAAGCGGGUGAAAAGCCCGCUCGCCGGAAGACCAAGGGUUCCUGUCCAACGUUAAUCGGGGCAGGGUGAGUCGACCCCUAAGGCGAGGCCGAAAGGCGUAGUCGAUGGGAAACAGGUUAAUAUUCCUGUACUUGGUGUUACUGCGAAGGGGGGACGGAGAAGGCUAUGUUGGCCGGGCGACGGUUGUCCCGGUUUAAGCGUGUAGGCUGGUUUUCCAGGCAAAUCCGGAAAAUCAAGGCUGAGGCGUGAUGACGAGGCACUACGGUGCUGAAGCAACAAAUGCCCUGCUUCCAGGAAAAGCCUCUAAGCAUCAGGUAACAUCAAAUCGUACCCCAAACCGACACAGGUGGUCAGGUAGAGAAUACCAAGGCGCUUGAGAGAACUCGGGUGAAGGAACUAGGCAAAAUGGUGCCGUAACUUCGGGAGAAGGCACGCUGAUAUGUAGGUGAAGUCCCUCGCGGAUGGAGCUGAAAUCAGUCGAAGAUACCAGCUGGCUGCAACUGUUUAUUAAAAACACAGCACUGUGCAAACACGAAAGUGGACGUAUACGGUGUGACGCCUGCCCGGUGCCGGAAGGUUAAUUGAUGGGGUUAGCGCAAGCGAAGCUCUUGAUCGAAGCCCCGGUAAACGGCGGCCGUAACUAUAACGGUCCUAAGGUAGCGAAAUUCCUUGUCGGGUAAGUUCCGACCUGCACGAAUGGCGUAAUGAUGGCCAGGCUGUCUCCACCCGAGACUCAGUGAAAUUGAACUCGCUGUGAAGAUGCAGUGUACCCGCGGCAAGACGGAAAGACCCCGUGAACCUUUACUAUAGCUUGACACUGAACAUUGAGCCUUGAUGUGUAGGAUAGGUGGGAGGCUUUGAAGUGUGGACGCCAGUCUGCAUGGAGCCGACCUUGAAAUACCACCCUUUAAUGUUUGAUGUUCUAACGUGGACCCGUAAUCCGGGUUGCGGACAGUGUCUGGUGGGUAGUUUGACUGGGGCGGUCUCCUCCUAAAGAGUAACGGAGGAGCACGAAGGUUGGCUAAUCCUGGUCGGACAUCAGGAGGUUAGUGCAAUGGCAUAAGCCAGCUUGACUGCGAGCGUGACGGCGCGAGCAGGUGCGAAAGCAGGUCAUAGUGAUCCGGUGGUUCUGAAUGGAAGGGCCAUCGCUCAACGGAUAAAAGGUACUCCGGGGAUAACAGGCUGAUACCGCCCAAGAGUUCAUAUCGACGGCGGUGUUUGGCACCUCGAUGUCGGCUCAUCACAUCCUGGGGCUGAAGUAGGUCCCAAGGGUAUGGCUGUUCGCCAUUUAAAGUGGUACGCGAGCUGGGUUUAGAACGUCGUGAGACAGUUCGGUCCCUAUCUGCCGUGGGCGCUGGAGAACUGAGGGGGGCUGCUCCUAGUACGAGAGGACCGGAGUGGACGCAUCACUGGUGUUCGGGUUGUCAUGCCAAUGGCACUGCCCGGUAGCUAAAUGCGGAAGAGAUAAGUGCUGAAAGCAUCUAAGCACGAAACUUGCCCCGAGAUGAGUUCUCCCUGACCCUUUAAGGGUCCUGAAGGAACGUUGAAGACGACGACGUUGAUAGGCCGGGUGUGUAAGCGCAGCGAUGCGUUGAGCUAACCGGUACUAAUGAACCGUGAGGCUUAACCUU
Molecule: ribosomal RNA, 2902 nt
Filed under: Escherichia coli
Lineage: Bacteria; Pseudomonadati; Pseudomonadota; Gammaproteobacteria; Enterobacterales; Enterobacteriaceae
Description: 23S ribosomal RNA
Rfam family: Bacterial large subunit ribosomal RNA
Source: RNAcentral